This 207-nucleotide ribosomal RNA is filed under the name uncultured bacterium. RNAcentral describes it as "partial 16S ribosomal RNA". It matches the Rfam family "Bacterial small subunit ribosomal RNA", at positions 568 to 774 of the family's 1533-position model. The record is from RNAcentral.
CGUGUAGGCGGCAGGGCAUGUCGGAUGUGAAAUCCCGCGGCUCAACCACGGAAGUGCACCCGAAACUGCCCAGCUUGAGUCUCGGAGAGGAAGGCGGAAUGCUUGGUGUAGAGGUGAAAUUCGUAGAUAUCAAGCGGAACACCGGUGGCGAAGGCGGCCUUCUGGACGAUGACUGACGCUGAGACGCGAAAGCGUGGGGAGCAAACA